RNAcentral lists this long non-coding RNA (1077 nucleotides) under Anas platyrhynchos (mallard). Its description in RNAcentral is "lncRNA (ENSAPLG00020003412.1)". The record is from RNAcentral. Lineage: Eukaryota; Metazoa; Chordata; Aves; Anseriformes; Anatidae.
CCCCUCCCCUCAGCCCUCACCCCCCUGUCACCCUUCCCCCCCCCCCUUUUUUUUGGGCUCCUUCCCCUCAGCUCUUACCCCCCACACACACCUCAAACCUUGCCCCCCCCCCCAGUCUCCCCCUCACCUCACCCUUUUUUAGGGACCCCCCCGGGGGCUUUCCUCACCUCAAACCCUGCCCCCCCCUCACCUCAAACCUCUCCCCCCCCUCACCUCACCCCUUAUUUUUUUAGCCCCCCCCCGGCCUUCCUUCACCUCCAACCUCACCCCCCCUCACCUCAGCCCCUUCCCCUCCCCACCCCGGCCUCCCCUUCCCCUCCCCUCUCCCCCUACCCCCCCCCCACCAUUUUUUUUUUCCUUUUUUCACCCUCCCCCCCCCCCCCCCCCCCCCCCCCCAAACCUGGUCCGGCGAGCCGGACAGACAGACACAGACAGACAGAGAAGGCUCUCGGGAGAGGCGGUUACUGGACCUUUCGUCCGGGCCGUGGUGGUGGAGCGGCGGCCGGGGGAGGCUGCAGCUGCCGCCGUCCUGGUGGUGGUGGUGGCAGGACGGAGCUGGGGGGGUGGCGGGCGGGCCGGGGGGGGACGCGGCGGCGGCGGGGGGGACACUCGGGCUCUCCACGGCCAUGGGAAGGGGGCUGCGGGGUCGUUUUGUGGCUGAGGGGGCGGGCGGUGAAGGGGGAAGGAGGGAAAAGGGGGGGGGCAACAGUCACUGUACAGGGCCGGGGGCAGCGCGGCCCGCGGUUCGCCGCCCGCCCCGCUGGCCGCGGGGACGGUGCACAAAAUGGCGGCCGGCGGCACGCAGCCGCGCCGAGGCAGCGCCCCGCCGGAAAGAGCCGAGCGGAGGCGGAAAGAGACGAAGUUGGCCGAGGAGGUGGGGGGGGGGGGGGAGGCGGAAAGAGCCGAAGUUGGGGGGAGGUGGAAAGUGACGAAGACGGAAAGAGCCGAAGGGCGGGGGAAAGGCGGGAAGAGCCGAGCGGCGGCGGAAAGAGCCGAAGUUUGCCGAGGAGGUGGGGGGGGGGGGGGAGGCGGAAAGAGACGAAGUGGUGGGGUGCAUGGGGGGGGGAGGGGGGUUGA